This 255-nucleotide ribosomal RNA is filed under the name uncultured bacterium. RNAcentral describes it as "partial 16S ribosomal RNA". It matches the Rfam family "Bacterial small subunit ribosomal RNA", at positions 1249 to 1500 of the family's 1533-position model. The record is from RNAcentral.
GCGAGCAUGCGAGUGUGAGCGAAUCUCAAAAAUAACGUCUCAGUUCGGAUUGUAGUCUGCAACUCGACUACAUGAAGCUGGAAUCGCUAGUAAUCGCGGAUCAGAAUGCCGCGGUGAAUACGGUUCCCGGGUCUUGUACACACCGCCCGUCACACCAUGGGAGUCAGUAACGCCCGAAGCCGGUGACCCAACCUAAACAGGAGGGAGCCGUCGAAGGCGGGACGGAUGACUGGGGUGAAGUCGUAACAAGGUAAC